AAACAUCAACUUUAUUCAGUAGUGUUGAUUACAUCAAACAUCAAAUCCGACCUACACUUAGAUUCCAAACCUAAUACAUAAAAAAAAUACAAAACAUGAACAACAAACUAAUUGGCCGCGUUUGAAUCUACUUCAUUCUUUUCUUCUUCUUCCUGCUCAUCAAAAUAGAGUUGAGAUUCUCUAACAAUCAUCCCAUCCACUACAUUACAAUUCACAUAAAAAACUUCUAUAAUCAAAAUCUGGAAGCAGCACGACAACUUGGCGUUAAGCCUUUUUGAAACCUUCUCAGUGAUUAACAACAAUCAACUUCUUAACUUCCUCUAACUUAGUAACUAGAUCAGAAUUAACCUUUUCUUUAUUUUGUAACUCGCCAUCCAAAAUUGCAACAACCUUUUUCAAGUUGGCGAGUUCCUCAUCAGUAGAUGUCAAUUUAUCUUCAGCAAUUAUCUUUGCUUCCUUUGUAUUCUUACUCAAGUUUGGCAACAACACCCAUAACUUCUUCCUCUAAUGCGAUAACUCAAGUACUCAAAGACUCAUUUUCCUAAGACUUAGCAGAUAGUGAGAAACAUGUUCAUCUAUAUCUAUUUGUAACAUAGAGGUUAAUUCUCUGCUUUUAGUCAAAGCCACUUUAAGUUGUUCAGUUUUACUAACCUAAACUUUCAUGGUCUUCAACUGGCAAACAUUGCUUUGAUCCUUUCAUCAACACUAGCAACUGUUUCAUUCCAAUGUGCGCCACAACAAGAGAUCAACCAAGGAAAAUCUCAGUUGCAUCCAAACUCUCCACCGGUCCAACAUAAUUCAUCAUAUCCCGGUCAUUUUGACUCAAGAAAACAAAGGAUUGAACGAAUUGUGGACCAGUCAACUCAGCAUUCCAAAGUGAAAUAAUAUUCUGAGCAACCAAGACAUGAUCUAAUCGGUGCAAUUUACCUUGAUGGUAGUGAAGAAUGGCUUUAUUGGUGUGAUCGUUGUGUUGAGUAACCAAAGUAGGACCACUUUGAUUACUUCCUUGAACAACAAAAAUCACCUUCUUUCAGAUCUCUUGCUCUUUUUCUUUCUCUAACUUGAGUCGCUUUUCUUUUUUCUUUUUCCUUGCUCUUCGUCUUUCUCUAACUCGAUCUCUUUUCUUUUCUCCAUCUCAGGCUGCAUAGUUGGAACAACCAAAUCAAUGAUUUAAUCUUGUCAAACAAGUUUACCACCACCACCAACAUCAUAUCCAACAAAAUCACUUCCACCAAGAGGUUUGGAUACUCCUCCCAAUUCAGUUUUUGAGGAAUCCUUAACUCUCUUCCUCUUCUUCUUCUGCUUGCUGAGCUGCAACACAAGGUCUGCUUGGUCAUCAAUAACCAAGUCCCUCAAACUCUUAUAAUCAUAGCCACUUAUGACUUUUGCAUUUACAUAAAGAAAAUGGUUUAGAACUCAUUAAAUGUUUAAAAAAAAAGAAACACCACCAUAGAAAUACAACAAAUACUCACGACUCAAAAUCCGAUGAGGAUGAUUUGAAUUAGGAAUGACCAAAAUAAAUUUACAGGACAUUUCAUAAGGUCAUUCUCCUAUAAUCGUAAUAUCCUUAAUUCCCUGGGGUGAUAAUACUUGACAAGGAUGAG
This 1604-nucleotide long non-coding RNA is filed under the name Glycine max (soybean). RNAcentral describes it as "long non-coding RNA (GMAX_LNC002731)". Lineage: Eukaryota; Viridiplantae; Streptophyta; Magnoliopsida; Fabales; Fabaceae. The record is from RNAcentral.